RNAcentral lists this ribosomal RNA (292 nucleotides) under uncultured bacterium. RNAcentral describes it as "partial 16S ribosomal RNA". It matches the Rfam family "Bacterial small subunit ribosomal RNA", at positions 505 to 796 of the family's 1533-position model. The record is from RNAcentral.
GUGUCAGCCGCCGCGGUAAGACGAACCGUGCGAACGUUGUUCGGAUUCACUGGGCUUAAAGGGCGCGUAGGCGGUCGAUCAAGUCCGGGGUGAAAUCGUUCGGCUUAACCGGACAAGUGCCUUGGAUACUGGUCGGCUGGAGGGAGGUAGGGGCAGCUGGAACUUCUGGUGGAGCGGUGAAAUGCGUUGAUAUCAGAAGGAACGCCGGUGGCGAAAGCGAGCUGCUGGACCUCUUCUGACGCUGAGGCGCGAAAGCUAGGGGAGCAAACGGGAUUAGAAACCCUGGUAGUCC